AGGAAAGGCAAGGUUGUGCUUGUGCCCAUUGAGUCCUGCUGAAGACAACCGACUCCUGUUGGUGCUCUGUGGAAAUCAGUCUGGUGGCAGCUCCAAUAGCAGGAGUCCUGUUCGUGAGCAGAACCAAUGCCAGGCUGCUAAACACAGCAAAGAAGACGUUGUCGCUGUCUCAAAGAGCUUCCAAGGUCAAGUGCCAUUGGACACAACCCCCAGUGCUAGGCUUCUCCAAAAUGAAACACUUCCAAGAACCAAAGAUGUCGAAAACUAAGGAAAUCUCUGCCAUAGAGCCCCAUGUGCAUUCUGCAUGGGAAGUUAUUUACUGAAGCAAAGACCAUGG
Molecule: long non-coding RNA, 337 nt
Organism: Melopsittacus undulatus (budgerigar)
Lineage: Eukaryota; Metazoa; Chordata; Aves; Psittaciformes; Psittaculidae
Exons: 3
Source: RefSeq, a predicted model, not a curated record